CUUUACUGAGUAUGACAUGCUGGAAAAUAUUGCUCUUCUUAAUCAGCUCUUCAUAAUAUAGUUCUUUCUUUGUUGUUUCAGAUCCAAAGGUUAAUUGUCUGUUAAGAAAUAUAUUUGAUGGACAAUGCUUGCUGACUUCAAAUUCCAAGGGAAGAUGAUGGAUUCUCUUGUGACCUUUUCGGCCGUGCUUCAUUCAGAUUCUCGUCUCCAAACGUUCCAAUUGCCAGCAAUACAUGAGACCAGUUGCUGAAUUCUUUUGGAGAUCAUCCAAGCGAUGCAGAAAAUCCGGGUGGCUGCUCUGUUGAUGGAAGUGCAUGGAAGAAGAUGGACAAGGAAGAAAAGGACAUGAAAGACUGAGCUAUCACGCACGAAGAAGAUUUGAGGAAGAACAUCUCUUUUUUAUCAGAAAUAUAAAAUAAUAUAUAUGGAUGGCCAAUGGAAAGAGAAUCCUCCAAAAGCAGUAGCCUGGAUUUGUUUUGGACACGUGAAGCUGUCCAUAAUUCAUAUGGCGGGCGGUGGAAGCUUUAAACAAAACUGCAUAUAUCGGACCAUAAUCGAAUCAGGCUUUGCUUGUUUACAUGAAGGAGCAGGUGAGUAAUUAAUUGUAUAUAUACAAAAUAAUACCCCUUCUUGUGAAUGAUGACCCUACACUUUGAUGUCAUUCCUCCCUUCAAACAGUAUCCGAAGAAUUGUCUUGAGUGCGUUUGGGCACAAGUUGAGUUGAAUGAAGUGAUCUAUUAUACACCAUUCAGUGUUUGAACUUCUUGUUAUUAUAGAUGAUCAAGUUGGUUACAAUCAUAAAUGAUUAGCUAUAGUGAAAGACUAUUUGGAAAGCGUAUGAAGCUACAGAGAAACCCACAAUUAGCUACUAAAUACGAAUUAAUGUAACUUUGUUUUGUUUUUGUAUGUUUAAGUACUUGGAAAUAUUUUCACAUAAUUAUUUUGUUCAGUGAUUUUGGAAACG
Cucumis melo (muskmelon) is the source of this 964-nucleotide long non-coding RNA. RefSeq lists it as uncharacterized. The transcript has 4 exons. The record is from RefSeq and is a predicted model, not a curated record. NCBI's taxonomy places the organism in Eukaryota, Viridiplantae, Streptophyta, Magnoliopsida, Cucurbitales, Cucurbitaceae.